Molecule: non-coding RNA, 138 nt
Organism: Ornithorhynchus anatinus (platypus)
Lineage: Eukaryota; Metazoa; Chordata; Mammalia; Monotremata; Ornithorhynchidae
Source: Rfam
CUCCUCUCAGGGUCGUACCUGGAGAGUGUCCCGUACUCUACCAAUCUUGACUAUAGGAGGAAGAGUCAAGCAGAGGCAUAUCCAUUCCAUUCCUAGCUUGGACAGUGGCUAGCGAGUGGAAGGCCAUCUGCUACAAGU